This 520-nucleotide unclassified non-coding RNA is filed under the name uncultured Entrophospora. Its description in RNAcentral is "SSU rRNA". It matches the Rfam family "Eukaryotic small subunit ribosomal RNA", at positions 569 to 1084 of the family's 1831-position model. Lineage: Eukaryota; Fungi; Glomeromycota; Glomeromycetes; Entrophosporales; Entrophosporaceae. The record is from RNAcentral.
AGCAGCCGCGGUAAUUCCAGCUCCAAUAGCGUAUAUUAAAGUUGUUGCAGUUAAAAAGCUCGUAGUUGAAUUUCGGGAUUGACACAUCGGUCGUGCCUUAAGGGGUAUGAACUGGUGUAGUCAAUUUCUCACCUUCUGGAGAACCGCGAUGCCUUUAAUUGGGUGUCGCGGGGAACCAGGACCUUUACUUUGAAAAAUUAGAGUGUUUAAAGCAGGCAUUUUGCUUGAAUACAUUAGCAUGGAAUAAUAAAAUAGGACGGCAUGAUUCUAUUUUGUUGGUUUCUAGGAUCACCGUAAUGAUUAAUAGGGAUAGUUGGGGGCAUUAGUAUUCAAUUGUCAGAGGUGAAAUUCUUGGAUUUAUUGAAGACUAACUACUGCGAAAGCAUUUGCCAAGGAUGUUUUCAUUAAUCAAGAACGAAAGUUAGGGGGAUCGAAGACGAUCAGAUACCGUCGUAGUCUUAACCAUAAACUAUGCCGACUAGGAAUCAGACGAUGUUAAUUUUUAAUGAACUCGUUUGGC